AAAAAACUAAGAUCUAUCAAAUUUUUGAACCUCCCAAUCUCAAUCCCACGAUCUUCUAACCACUUCAAGCAAACAUUGAACUCAAACCCUAGAAACAAAAUCAAUCUUCUUCUAGCUUCAAACCUAAAGGAAUCGAACUUCGAUAAUAGUCGUUUCCCUGUAAUCAAACUCAGAGCAAUCGAAACUCAAAGAUGUUGUUUUCCAAGAGAAAUCGAAGUUAGAGCAAUCGUUUCCCAUUAAUCGUUGGUCUUCUCCAAUCACACUCGUCAAUCCUAAUAUCCAAGAACCCAGAAACCACCGUGAACCCUAUCCCAUAAUCCAUAAAUUCUCUUCUAUCCAAGAACCUCAAUCCAAUAACCCACCGAUUUAACUGUCGGAAGUCAUACUCGUUCGUCGCCGUGCUCUUACAACUCAAACUGCCAUCAUUAAGGAAGAGGGUUUAUUGAAGGACCUCAAUUCACAAGAAGGUGACAAUGAAGAUGUAAAGAGUUACGGUGUUGGGGACUUUCAUCACUGAAUGGGAUGAGGGAAAGGCUAACUGUGAUAUACUGCUUUCAACAAAGGAGUCUGCACGAAUGUAUGCAGAAUGUCUGGCAGAGCUUGCUGUUCAUUUAGGCUUCGAUGGGUGGCUAGUAUAUAUUUCGUCAUCUCUCUGUGCUUAUAAAGUUUCUCUUCUUGUCUAUUUGAAAUUUCUAUUAAUAAUCUGUGUAUCCUUUUCAUUGUGGCAGGCUUUAAGAAUAAAGCCAUAAGAUACAUGUGUUAAAAGAUUGACUAGUUCUAUAUCACAAUAUAUGGUUUGGUACUUCUUUCUACAAUUGAUAUCUUUUGUACAUAUGCUCCAGGUCUUGAUCUGUCAUUCCAGUGGAAUAAUUGAUUAAAUUAAUAAGAAAUUAUUAAGUGUAAUUAUUACUUGUUUUGAUCAUUUUGGUUUUGUAGAUUUGGCUCCAAAGCAUAUGAAUCUUUUGAGUAUAUUGUUUCAAAAGUGCCCAGUCUAAGGCUUCAUGAGCAAUCAACGUACACCCAACAAAAUGGAGUUCAAGCCAGUUUUUUAGUUGACAGUUUUUGCCCUCGACGUUGGAUCGCUUAUAAGUUGCCUGUCUUGGUGUUUUCUGGUGGUGUUGCGGCUGCGUUUGUCCUCUUGCUAUGUGCAGCGACAUUGCAUUUUUGCUGCUAGUUUUUUAUUUUUAUUUUGUUGUAAUGUCCUAUAUUGUUUAUGAGAUUUAUAACUAGUUUUUGGAUCAAUAUAUGUUUUGGCCAUUUAGAAAUAUAUGAUUCUAGUGUUAUAGUCCAGUCAAUAUGGAGUCUUCGUUUGUAUAUGUUUUGGCCACUUAGUCUUGUGUGAUUCUAGUGUCAAUAUUAGUGACUGGAUUGUGUUGUAACAAAUGGAUUGUGACUAUGUAUUUGAUUAUGAUUAAUGAAAAUCAAAGGUAUUUAUUUUUUAAAUUCCAGAGAAUGUCGAAAGCAAAAAAAAAAAAAAAAAUGA
Trifolium pratense (red clover) is the source of this 1483-nucleotide long non-coding RNA. RefSeq lists it as uncharacterized. The record is from RefSeq and is a predicted model, not a curated record. NCBI's taxonomy places the organism in Eukaryota, Viridiplantae, Streptophyta, Magnoliopsida, Fabales, Fabaceae. The transcript is spliced from 4 exons.